Molecule: ribosomal RNA, 495 nt
Filed under: uncultured bacterium
Lineage: Bacteria
Description: partial 16S ribosomal RNA
Rfam family: Bacterial small subunit ribosomal RNA
Source: RNAcentral
GACGAACGCUGGCGGCGUGCCUAAUACAUGCAAGUAGAACGCUGAAGGAGGAGCUUGCUUCUCUGGAUGAGUUGCGAACGGGUGAGUAACGCGUAGGUAACCUGCCUGGUAGCGGGGGAUAACUAUUGGAAACGAUAGCUAAUACCGCAUAAGAGUAGAUGUCGCAUGACAUUUGCUUAAAAGGUGCAAUUGCAUCACUACCAGAUGGACCUGCGUUGUAUUAGCUAGUUGGUGAGGUAACGGCUCACCAAGGCAACGAUACAUAGCCGACCUGAGAGGGUGAUCGGCCACACUGGGACUGAGACACGGCCCAGACUCCUACGGGAGGCAGCAGUAGGGAAUCUUCGGCAAUGGACGGAAGUCUGACCGAGCAACGCCGCGUGGGUGAAGAAGGUUUUCGGAUCGUAAAGCUCUGUUGUAAGAGAAGAACGAGUGUGAGAGUGGAAAGUUCACACUGUGACGGUAUCUUACCAGAAAGGGACGGCUAACUACGUG